CCUACGGGUGGCAGCAGUGGGGAAUAUUGCGCAAUGGGCGAAAGCCUGACGCAGCGACGCCGCGUGAGGGAUGAAGGUCUUCGGAUCGUAAAGCACUGUCAGCAGGGAAGAAGGGGCAAUGUGCUAAUCAGCAGGGAAUUGACGGUACCUGCAAAGGAAGCACCGGCUAACUCCGUGCCAGCAGCCGCGGUAAUACGGAGGGUGCAAGCGUUAAUCGGAAUUACUGGGCGUAAAGCGCUCGUAGGCGGUAUGUCAAGUCAAGGGUGAAAUCCCCGCGCUCAACGUGGGAACUGCCUUUGAAACUGGCCAACUGGAGUGUGGUAGAGGGUAGUGGAAUUCCAUGUGUAGGAGUGAAAUCCGUAGAUAUGUGGAGGAACAUCAGUGGCGAAGGCGACUAUCUGGCAAAUGACUGACGCUGAGGAGCGAAAGCGUGGGUAGCAAACAGGAUUAGAUACCCGUGUAGUC
Molecule: ribosomal RNA, 465 nt
Filed under: uncultured bacterium
Lineage: Bacteria
Description: partial 16S ribosomal RNA
Rfam family: Bacterial small subunit ribosomal RNA
Source: RNAcentral